This 440-nucleotide ribosomal RNA is filed under the name uncultured bacterium. Its description in RNAcentral is "bacterial SSU rRNA". It matches the Rfam family "Bacterial small subunit ribosomal RNA", at positions 340 to 774 of the family's 1533-position model. The record is from RNAcentral.
UACGGGAGGCAGCAGUGGGGAAUAUUGCACAAUAGGCGCAAGCCUGAUGCAGCCAUGCCGCGUGUAUGAAGAAGGCCUUCGGGUUGUAAAGUACUUUCAGUCGUGAGGAAGGUGUUAAGGUUAAUAACCUUAGCAAUUGACGUUAGCGACAGAAGAAGCACCGGCUAACUCCGUGCCAGCAGCCGCGGUAAUACGGAGGGUGCGAGCGUUAAUCGGAAUUACUGGGCGUAAAGGGCACGCAGGCGGUUAAUUAAGUUGGAUGUGAAAUCCCCGGGCUUAACCUGGGAAUGGCAUUCAAGACUGGUUAGCUAGAGUCUUGUAGAGGGGGUAGAAUUCCAUGUGUAGCGGUGAAAUGCGUAGAGAUGUGGAGGAAUACCGGUGGCGAAGGCGGCCCCUGGACAAAGGCUGACGCUCAUGUGCGAAAGCGUGGGGAGCAAACG